AGAGUUUGAUCCUGGCUCAGGAUCAACGCUGGCGGCGUGCCUAAUGCAUGUAAGUCGCACGGGUGCCUUCGGGUACCAGUGGCGAACGGCUGAGUAGCACGUACGGACCUGCCCUCCGCUGGGGAAUAACGCACCGAAAGGUGUGCUAAUACCGCGUACGCUUGUGCAAGCAAGGAAAGCAGCGAUGCGGCGGAGGAGGGGCGUGCGCCCCAUCAGCUUGUUGGCGGGGUAAUGGCCCACCAAGGCAGUGACGGGUGGCUGGUCUGUGAGGACGAUCAGCCAGACUGGGACUGAGACACGGCCCAGACACCUACGGGUGGCAGCAGCAAGGAAUCUUCGACAAUGGGCUCACGCCCGAUCGAGCAACGCCGCGUGCAGGAUGACGGCUUUCGGGUUGUAAACUGCUUUGAGGGAGGAUGAUACGGACAGUACUCCCAAAACCAGCCCCGGCUAACUCUGUGCCAGCAGCCGCGGUAAGACAGAGGGGGCAAACGUUGUCCGGAAUGACUGGGCGUACAGCGCGCGCAGGCGGGUGGUGACGUGCCGUGUGACAGCGCACUGCUUAACAGUGCGUGGUCACGGUAGACGCACCGCCUAGAGACCGAGAGAGGGAUGUGGAAUACCCGGUGGAGCGGUGAAAUGCGUAGAGAUCGGGUGGAACACCAGGGGCGAAGGCGGCAUCCUGGCUCGGACCUGACGCUGAGGCGCGAGAGCGUGGGGAGCAAACGGGAUUAGAUACCCCGGUAGUCC
This 750-nucleotide ribosomal RNA is filed under the name uncultured Chloroflexota bacterium. Its description in RNAcentral is "bacterial SSU rRNA". It matches the Rfam family "Bacterial small subunit ribosomal RNA", at positions 8 to 796 of the family's 1533-position model. Lineage: Bacteria; Bacillati; Chloroflexota. The record is from RNAcentral.